This 488-nucleotide ribosomal RNA is filed under the name uncultured bacterium. RNAcentral's name for it is "bacterial SSU rRNA". It matches the Rfam family "Bacterial small subunit ribosomal RNA", at positions 28 to 507 of the family's 1533-position model. The record is from RNAcentral.
GACGAACGCUGGCGGCGUGCCUAACACAUGCAAGUCGAACGGAACUGCUUCGAAGGAUUUCUUCGGAAUGACAUUGAUUCAGUUUAGUGGCGGACGGGUGAGUAACGCGUGGGUAACCUGCCGUAUGCAGGGGGAUAGCCUUCCGAAAGGAAGAUUAAUACCUCAUAACAUCAUUCUUUCGCAUGUUAGAAUGAUCAAAGGAGCAAUCCGCUAUGAGAUGGACCCGCGGCGCAUUAGCUAGUUGGUGAGGUAACGGCUCACCAAGUCGACGAUCGGUAGCCGGACUGAGAGGUCGAACGGCCACAUUGGGACUGAGACACGGCCCAGACUCCUACGGGAGGCAGCAGUGGGGGAUAUUGCACAAUGGGGGGAAACCCUGAUGCAGCGACGCCGGCGUGAGGGAAGACGGUCCUCUGGAUUGUAAACCUCUGUCUUCGGGGACGAAAGAAGACGGUACCCGAGGAGGAAGCCAACGGGCUAACUACGUG